Molecule: ribosomal RNA, 388 nt
Filed under: uncultured bacterium
Lineage: Bacteria
Description: bacterial SSU rRNA
Rfam family: Bacterial small subunit ribosomal RNA
Source: RNAcentral
GACGAACGCUGGCGGCGUGCUUAACACAUGCAAGUCGAGCGGUAAGGCCCUUUCGGGGGUACGACGAGCGGCGAACGGGUGAGUAGCACGUGGGUGACCUGCCCUCAGCUCUGGGAUAAGCCUGGGAAACCGGGUCUAAUACUGGAUAUGACUCCAUGACGCAUGUUGUGGGGUGGAAAGCCUUGUGCGGCUGAGGAUGGGCCCGCGGCCUAUCAGCUUGUUGGUGGGGUGAGGCCUACCAAGGCGACGACGGGUAGCCGGCCUGAGAGGGCGACCGGCCACACUGGGACUGAGACACGGCCCAGACUCCUACGGGAGGCAGCAGUGGGGAAUCUUGCGCAAUGGGCGAAAGCCUGACGCAGCGACGCCGCGUGAGGGAUGACGGCCU